GGGUGAGUAACACGUGAGCAACCUGCCCUCCACUUCGGGAUAAGCCCUGGAAACGGGGUCUAAUACCGGAUACGAGCACUCGACGCAUGUCGGGUGUUGGAAAGUUUUUCGGUGGGGGAUGGGCUCGCGGCCUAUCAGCUUGUUGGUGGGGUAAUGGCCUACCAAGGCGUCGACGGGUAGCCGGCCUGAGAGGGCGACCGGCCACACUGGGACUGAGACACGGCCCAGACUCCUACGGGAGGCAGCAGUGGGGAAUAUUGCACAAUGGGCGAAAGCCUGAUGCAGCGACGCCGCGUGAGGGAUGACGGCCUUCGGGUUGUAAACCUCUUUCAGCAGGGAAGAAGGCCUUCGGGUGGACGGUACCUGCAGAAGAAGCGCCGGCUAACUACGUGCCAGCAGCCGCGGUAAUACGUAGGGCGCAAGCGUUGUCCGGAAUUAUUGGGCGUAAAGAGCUCGUAGGCGGUUUGUCGCGUCUGGUGUGAAAACCUCAGGCUCAACCUGGGGCGUGCAUCGGGUACGGGCAGACUAGAGUGCGGUAGGGGAGACUGGAAUUCCUGGUGUAGCGGUGGAAUGCGCAGAUAUCAGGAGGAACACCGAUGGCGAAGGCAGGUCUCUGGGCCGCAACUGACGCUGAGGAGCGAAAGCAUGGGGAGCGAACAGGAUUAGAUACCCUGGUAGUCCAUGCCGUAAACGUUGGGCACUAGGUGUGGGGCUCAUUCCACGAGUUCCGUGCCGCAGCUAACGCAUUAAGUGCCCCGCCUGGGGAGUACGGCCGCAAGGCUAAAACUCAAAGGAAUUGACGGGGGCCCGCACAAGCGGCGGAGCAUGCGGAUUAAUUCGAUGCAACGCGAAGAACCUUACCAAGGCUUGACAUGCACCGGACGCUGCCAGAGAUGGUGGUUCCGCAAGGUCGGUGCACAGGUGGUGCAUGGUUGUCGUCAGCUCGUGUCGUGAGAUGUUGGGUUAAGUCCCGCAACGAGCGCAACCCUUGUCCUAUGUUGC
Molecule: ribosomal RNA, 1002 nt
Filed under: Isoptericola sp.
Lineage: Bacteria; Bacillati; Actinomycetota; Actinomycetes; Micrococcales; Promicromonosporaceae
Description: bacterial SSU rRNA
Rfam family: Bacterial small subunit ribosomal RNA
Source: RNAcentral